CCAGUGUUCAACAGCAGCCAAAGGGGGGCACCUUCACUGCUAAUUCCUGCGGCUGAAAAACUGUCACGGACGAUUUCUUUCAGAGGAGAUGUGUUCACACAGGUUACAGCUGCACAGUUCUUCUCCAUCAGUCCUCUGUUUGUAUUUGUUCUUUAUGAUCGCUUACAGGAAAAAAGAGAAAGUGAGAAGCAGAUAUCUUCUGUGACAAAACAGAGCUUGGAAGACACUGUAGGCACAGGGAAUAAUUGCAAUAUGUAUUCAACAUCUAAAAUCUGCAAUUAUAUCAUUGCUUGACAUUUUUAGAUGUCAAUAAAUCUGUAAGAACAAAUAGAAGCUAAUGAGCUGAUGCACCUUUGGAAAACCUGCACUUUCCUUGUGUGCACUAUUCUUUCUCCUGAAGUCGUGGCUCGGGCGAAGCCCAAAUAGCUGGGAUGCUAAGCCCUGGGCGCAUAUAUCUACAGCACUGAUCUUGAGCGAUGAUGCGUUUCAAAUGCCGCUAUGAAAGAAAGCGGAAGAGCCUCAGAGAGAACAGCUUCCUGUCAUUUAAAUGCCACUUGAUGGAUACAAUGUGAACAAAGAGCUGUUUCGUGGCAUCCUCUAGGCUUUUGUUAAGAUACAUUCAUUGAAUUCUCAUACCCUUUACUGUUUUUUCCCCUCCCUCUUGGAGAGAUUUACUGUCAGUAUUGCCUUUAUGGUGAAUACCAUCCUUUGGAAGGUAAUCAAAUUAAGAUUUUUUAAUUUUAUUUACUACAUGUAGGAUGUUUUUUACAAAGAAGACAAGUUCCCCUGGAAAGAGGUGAUCAAUGUUAAUUUUCCAAAGGGCAGUGUGUGCCCGUGACAUUUUAUCUUUGGCUAAUAUUUAUAAAAUAAGCCUGUAGUUUGUCCUCAGCUCAGCCUGAAAAUGCUGACUGAGAGUCCAAGUCGUAUUGCUUGCUUCUGCUUGCGGACAUCAGCUUGAACAUAAAUUCCUUUGCUGGCGUAUUAUCUCUUAUCAUUAACCACCAGGACAGUCCUUCUGCAACUUCUUCUGGACAAAAAAAGCAAGAUAAGUGUAUAUUAUAGCUUUGAAGAACCUAAUUGAACCCUCUCUCAGGCAAAGUUCAUCGGUGGUUAACUAUAAAACGUGACUAAUCUGUUUGCAUUUGACCUAAAGGUGAAUUAAGAAGCUGUCUAUCUGCAAGAGCCCCAGCCUUUGCCAUCCAGCAGAUAUUAGACACUGUAUAUGCAUAUCCGGCACUAUGUUCACAAUGGUGCGCGUGUGAUGCUGAUCCACAGAUCUGUGUUUGGAGGCAAUUUUGGAUUCUCUUCCAGAACCCUCAAGAGAUAUAUAGAGCAUGUUCUCAGAUCAUAAAUGCAAAACCUGGGGAGUUAAUCAUUCCUUUAAGAUGUUUCUAACGCAUCAAUUAUUAAUGAAAUCUCUAGGUUGUGUGGCUUUCUACUUUUAUACCCAUGUGUGCUUGUGGUGGAGAGGAUGAAGGGGAGAGGCACAUAAAUCAGAGAAAGAAUUAUAAUUAGAAACACUUGAGUUGGAAAUCCUCAUCUCCCGAACGCACUGCAUUGCAACUGAUGCGGCCUCAACUUCAGAAAGGUAAAACUUUGAUCAGGAACAGAGCGCAGGCUAACAUGCAGAAUGUUCUAAUGCCGAGUAAGAAAGCUAAGCUAUGGAUUGGUAACUGCCAGUGGAGGAAAGCUACUUGCAGCUGCAGACAAAUGAGCCACGUCCAGAAUCGCUGCUCACUGAGCGGCAUCUCAUAAGGUGUGACUGGGACUUUGCAGACACUGCUUCUGAGUAGUCUUCUAGGUAUUAAAACCUUCAGCCACAAACAGAGUGUAUUUAUUAUCACCUCCCUCCCUUUUCCAGAAGGUGUCUCUUUGCACGCUAACGUGCAGGCGUGGAUGUGUUUCAGCAGGGGGAUGUGAAUCUUCUGUGUGAGUUACACUUCUCCAACCAGGUCAUUCCUUUUUUUUUUUUUCAUGUGGGAAAGUAUUUUUAAUCAAAUUUUGCAGUUUGUAAAGCAAACAAACAGAGGAAAAGCCUCUGGAUAGUAUUUGCAGGUUUUUCUUUGGAAGGAGAAAGUGUAAGUGUUUUGCUGUAGAAGGAAAAUAUAUAGUUUUUCAUUGCUGGAAUUCAAAAUAUGGUGACAGUACCAGUCUUAGAGAAGAGCUUGAAAAUGAAAGAAGUACUUUACUUGAAGUCUCUUCUGGGAAGCAAAUAUCAUUCAUCCCCAGACCUGUGUAGCAAAUAUAAACACCAGUCAAGUUUAAAGAAGAAAAAGGCAUAAAAACAGAAAGGAAGACCCUCAUUUAGUUUAUUUUGGAGACCUAAGGAAACAACUUUGAAUGUGUGUAGGUGAACAAAAAAUUCUGUAUUGAGAGGGUUGAAGUUGCUUAUGAUGUUUCCUCUUAUAAAAUGAGGAGGAGGAGAGAGAGAAAACGAUCGUGUUGAAACCCAGGACACUGUAUGCAACAGGCUUACCUUUAGGAAAUUUCUGUACCACACUUAUUUAUGCUUGUCCUAAUAGAAUUAUAGUGGAUACCUUAAAGUGAGAAUCUGAUACUGUCUGUGCUGUGACAUCCGUUAAUUGAAGAAUGACUUCUCUUCUGAAUCUUCUGUAGGCUUUUUCCCUAACCUACAUGGUCUUACUGGAUUGACAAUGCUGGUCAUCAUAUGUACCUCCUGCUCACCUGACAGAAAGGCAACACUCUAAUCAGGCUGCACACUAUAAAUUCUUAUCAAAUCUGUGAAACAAACCUGAAACAAAUAGCUCUGCCUUCAUUGCAGUUCUUAAGCCUGUUCAUGAUAAAAAAAAAAAAAAAAAAAGUCAUUUUGUAUGGCUUACAAAUAGGUGCCCAAAACCUGGUACCCCUGAAGUUCUGAAUUCACUCACACUGAGUCAACUGCCUCACUUACUGUUUACAUCUGUACAAUUAUAAUUUAGAAGAAACUAGGCUUUGGGCUUUUUUUUUCCCUAUCAUCCAGAAUAGUUUGCUGCUAUUAUUCCUGAGCUUUUAAAAAAGCACCUUAAAGACAUUGCUAAUGACUUAAUUUGGGUUUAAUUUGAACUGGUUUAAUACAGAGGGAAAAAAGGCUGACAAACACAUUGUGUAAAUUAUUUUAGUGAGAUAUUUAAUUAGAUGUUUUCAUACAGCACUGCAGAAGUCAUAAAAAAAGAUAAACUGGUUUUCAGUAGUAGUGAAAUCUGGAGUGCAUUGGUGACAACUUCCUGGCAUAGUUGAUAUUUUGGAAAGUAGAUGACAUAUGUUGUUAAUUUUUUCCUAUUGCAUGUGAAAUUACAAAACAAUUUAAAAAAAAAAGCAAUACAAAAAACCUUAUUCAAGGUAACCUGCACUAAGAAUAUAUCUUUUUAUUUAUUUGUAGAGAGAUAAAUAAUUUAUUGCACAGUGGAAGAGUUAAAGAAUAAAGGCUCAGUUAAGUCUUCCCUCACAGAGAAAACAGCAUUGUAACUUCACAGAAAUAGCUGAGAUUUCAACCUUCAUCAGUCUGGAAUGUGAAUAGCAACUGCCUUCAGAGAGCAAAGUGUUGCAUUACUGGACCUGCAGGAGGAAGGAUAUCUCUGGACAGAGAAUGACAAGUUGGAGCGGAGCUAGCACUCAGCACCUUGAAGAACUGUGUCCUCUACUGAAACAAUUGGCAGUCUUCCUUCCUCUGUUUAUACCAGGUCCAUGAAAGAAGCAAGUGCAUAAAGAGAUACGUGAGAUUCACUUCAGAGGCACGCUUGGACCAGAGCAGCAGAGAAAUACUCAGGAAAAGAUGCUUAUGCAUUGUGAACAUGCAGUAUGAUAGCACUUACACAGCUAGAAGAAAGUGUAUCCUUUGGCCCAGCCUGCACAGAUAUAAGGUUUUUUUUAUGCACUUAUCUUGCCCCAGAGAUCUGUCUGGUCUAACUUUCAUCCAUCUCUAAGGGAAGUCUAUGAACACAAGUACCCUUUCUUGGUCAGAAUGCUAUAGAAAACAUAGAAAGAGGCAUUCUUCCAGUACUUUUAAAGGAUCAAAACUGCCCUUGAGGUAACCUCAAGGUAUUUCAGGGAAGGUAUAGAGAAACAGAAUUUGCCUUUUCAGUUUUCUUGAACAAACGUGUUGAUUGGUAUGCUGUCACAUUCUCAAAUUCACAGUAGCUGCACAUCAGCAAAUAUAUUUGGAAUCCCAAGUGCUGUCUUUGUACUCAGCAAAAUCAUCCUUAAGACAAUAGGCAAGUAACGGUAUAAAUUGAUGUUGGUGAUCAAACACUCCAAUGGAAAAAGUCUGCAAGUUUUAAUUUUUCAGUUUAUUUUUGAUGUACAGCUGGCUGUGUGUUUUUUUAAGGCAUAGACCAGACAGCUUCAGAUAAAAUGAAAAAUGUGUCUAGGAUUUUGUUGUCCAAACACUUUGAAAUACUUUCCAGUUUUGGUCAACUAAAACAAAACAUUCAGAUGACAUUUUUACAUGUUCUGUACAUGUAGACAAUUUCAGGCAUGGGCUACAUGGCUUUUCUAAUAAUAGAGAACCUGGUGACAUAACCAUGAAUAAAUAGGGUGGUAGGACUGGACAUGAGCCAGCAGUGUGCGCUGGCAGCCCGGAAGGCCAACUAUGUUCUGGGCUGCAUUAAAAGAGGAGUGGCCAGCAGGGAGAGGGAGGUGAUGGUCCCACUCUACUCGGC
Long non-coding RNA from Numida meleagris (helmeted guineafowl), 4658 nucleotides. RefSeq lists it as uncharacterized. The record is from RefSeq and is a predicted model, not a curated record. The transcript is spliced from 6 exons. Lineage: Eukaryota; Metazoa; Chordata; Aves; Galliformes; Numididae.